This is a non-coding RNA of Acanthosepion pharaonis, 111 nucleotides long. The record is from the annotation of a GenBank genome assembly. Lineage: Eukaryota; Metazoa; Mollusca; Cephalopoda; Sepiida; Sepiidae.
ACGGUCACAUCGCAUUAAAAGCUCUGUUCCCGUACGAUCAACAAAGUUAAGCAACGUCGAGUCUGGUUCGUACCUAGAUGGGUGACCGCCUGCGAAUACCACGUACUGUAA